GACGAAGGAUGCAAGCGUUAUCCGGAUUCAUUGGGUUUAAAGGGUGCGUAGGUGGGCAAGUAAGUCAGUGGUGAAAUCUCCGGGCUUAACCCGGAAACUGCCAUUGAUACUAUUUGUCUUGAAUACUGUGGAGGUCAGCGGAAUAUGUCAUGUAGCGGUGAAAUGCUUAGAUAUGACAUAGAACACCAAUUGCGAAGGCAGCUGGCUACACAAAUAUUGACACUGAGGCACGAAAGCGUGGGGAUCAAACAGG
This 253-nucleotide ribosomal RNA is filed under the name uncultured bacterium. Its description in RNAcentral is "partial 16S ribosomal RNA". It matches the Rfam family "Bacterial small subunit ribosomal RNA", at positions 524 to 776 of the family's 1533-position model. The record is from RNAcentral.